RNAcentral lists this ribosomal RNA (492 nucleotides) under uncultured bacterium. RNAcentral describes it as "partial 16S ribosomal RNA". It matches the Rfam family "Bacterial small subunit ribosomal RNA", at positions 29 to 507 of the family's 1533-position model. The record is from RNAcentral.
AGUGAACGCUGGCGGUAGGCCUAACACAUGCAAGUCGAACGGCAGCACAGUAAGAGCUUGCUCUUACGGGUGGCGAGUGGCGGACGGGUGAGGAAUACAUCGGAAUCUACUUUUUCAUGGGGGAUAACGUAGGGAAACUUACGCUAAUACCGCAUACGACCUACGGGUGAAAGCAGGGGAUCUUCUGACCUUGCGCGAUUGAAUGAGCCGAUGUCGGAUUAGCUAGUUGGCGGGGUAAAGGCCCACCAAGGCGACGAUCCGUAGCUGGUCUGAGAGGAUGAUCAGCCACACUGGAACUGAGACACGGUCCAGAGUCCUACGGGAGGCAGCAGUGGGGAAUAUUGGACAAUGGGCGCAAGCCUGAUCCAGCCAGACCGCGUGGGUGAAGAAGGCGUUCGGGUUGUAAAGCCCUUUUGUUGGGAAAGAAAAGCAGCAGGUUAAUACGCCGCUGUUCUGACGGUACCCAAAGAAUAAGCACCGGCUAACUUCGUG